Molecule: unclassified non-coding RNA, 253 nt
Filed under: uncultured bacterium
Lineage: Bacteria
Description: contains 16S-23S intergenic spacer region
Rfam family: Bacterial small subunit ribosomal RNA
Source: RNAcentral
UACGAAGGGGGCGAGCGUUAUUCGGAAUCACUGGGCGUAAAGGGUGCGUAGGUGGCAAUUUAAGUCAGUUGUUAAAAAUUACGGCUUAACCGUAAAGGUGCGAUUGAUACUGGAUAGCUAGAGGACAAGAGAGAGAAGUGGAAUUCCCGGAGUAGCGGUAAAAUGCGUAGAUCUCGGGAGGAACACCAAUUGCGAAGGCAGCUUCUUGGCUUGUUGCUGACACUGAGGCACGAAAGCGUGGGGAGCAAACAGG